RNAcentral lists this long non-coding RNA (387 nucleotides) under Selaginella moellendorffii. RNAcentral's name for it is "long non-coding RNA (SMOE_LNC001414)". Lineage: Eukaryota; Viridiplantae; Streptophyta; Lycopodiopsida; Selaginellales; Selaginellaceae. The record is from RNAcentral.
UAGUUUGCAUAUUGAACAGGUGCUACCUUCCAUUCAGCUUUUGGUUUGACAUGAUUUAUGUGGGAUGGGAUGUGAAAUGAAGGUGAUUUUCUUCUAAGUAAAAAGAUCACUCUAGCUUACAACUCCUUCAGGAAAAUCACCGUCAUUCAAGAUCCCAUCCCAGAUCGCAAGGACAAAUCCUGGCAUCACGUCAGACCAAAGCUAGAUGCACCUGUUCAAUAUACAAACUCCGUGCUGUCGUGUUUAGAUGAGAUUGGACGUGGUUUGUAGCCGAUAAAGACUGCUGCGUCGCUGGCUGAUCUACUAUUUAUCUACAAGGAAUAUAAUGUCCCCUUAGGAUGCUGAUAUUGUCUUCGUUUGUACUGUAAAUUCUGGCCAGCUGGGUUU